CCGGGAGGAAUCAACGCGACGCGCGAUUAAACCACGACCUUCCCACAAUGCUUUGCUAACGUAACCCAGUGCGCAUGUUUGUCACUGCCCUGUUCAUAUCACCUCAGGGUUCCAAUACUGAAAAAGCUUUCCUUGCGCCCUUCGGAUCAAGACAUGCCUGCACAAUUUUCCACACAAGUCAUUCCAAAGGAGUUUUGACAUUGUUCAUGUUUGACCCUCAAACUCGUUAGCCAGGUAUAGGACGACAGUAUUUUCUAACUUACACUAUACCUAUUUGACUAAAAUUGCUGUCCAGCAGGAGGGCAGUUGGAUCCAGCGAGUAAUCAAUGAAUCCAUUUCUUUGUUAAGGCUUCUUCAUCACACUCAUCCAAAGACUCAGAUCCUCUCCAGGUCUUUGGGAUGGUCAGGCAGGUCCUCCAGGAGAGCAGGGUUCCUCCUGUAGAUGUAAGCGUUGGCAUCGUCGUCCAGAUUCACCAGCUCUGCCAGCGAGGACACACAGGUGUCGUGGUCUGUCAGCAUCCCAGGCAGGUGGGAUGACUUGCGCUGGAUGCGACAGGAACGACGGACUGGUGUCAGGAACUUCAGAUCCUUGAUGGAGUUUUUUCGCCUGGAACCACUUGCACAUGCCUCACUGUUGAUUGUUCUCUUAACACUAGAAGGGGAAAGAGAUGGACAGAAUUGUGUGGUUAGUUGACAGCCAUCUUCAGUUUAAUAUACAUUUCAAUAUAGAUGUGAAGUAGUGAUGUUCUCCAUGACCUCCAGAAUUUCCAAUAAUUGUAUGGAAGUGAUUUUAAAAUAGGUAUUUUUUUUAUAUCACCUUUGAAGGUAUGGAGUUGUCUUCAGAUUGUAUUUCACCAUGGAGGCUCCCUCUGGUGUAGUCUCCAUCAAGCAUUCGUCAUCAUAAUCACUAUCAACUUUCUCAACAUAACCCUUCCUUACUUUCUGCGCUGAAGCUCCCUCUCCUACUUCACUUUUCACUUCAACAUCCUCAGACCUGUCAAAAUUAUUCUCAGCAAACUCAUUCCUCUCUUCAAAUCCACAAUUUGGCUCGCCCGCCACGAUUUUCUCUUCAGAUUCCCUUUUCUCGUGUGGCUCUAAAAGAAAAAAGAACACGCCAAUGAAUAUAACACAUGACUAAAGUUUACAUGAUAAAAUGUUACUCUUACUUGAUUUGAACCUUGCAGUUGCAUGAUUUUAAUCAGGCAGAUGAUGCCAAGUGAGCAAGUAAACUGUUUGCUGUGAAUGUAAAUGCACUGACCACAAAACUUACCAUCCACACAUGCUGAGGACAUCUCCAAUGCCUCCAAAGCAUCACAAAGGUUGACCACAACCUGUGAUAGGACAGUGCUGGUUAGGUUAUAUUUAAGAAUAAAACUACAGUACCAAAAAAAUAAAUGACUAAACAAAGAA
Molecule: long non-coding RNA, 1410 nt
Organism: Salmo salar (Atlantic salmon)
Lineage: Eukaryota; Metazoa; Chordata; Actinopteri; Salmoniformes; Salmonidae
Source: RefSeq, a predicted model, not a curated record